AGGUUUGAGGACUGCUUCGGAUAGGGUCUGCUCGUGGCAGCAACGAUGAGAACUCGAGUUCUUUUGAACUGAGGCAAUCGCGCAAAUGUCCAAGCUUCGUGGUUUGGAAUCGGUGUUUCUUCCUUGGACCUCCGCUGAUGGUUUUCGUUUGUGUUUUCCUUGUUGUGCUUUAUGUUUUAUUUUAUUUUUCAUUGUAGUUUUCGGUCUUUCUGUCUUCCUUGUUUUCUCUGUAAUCUCUGUCACAAAUCUAAAAUCGG
This 257-nucleotide long non-coding RNA is filed under the name Arabidopsis lyrata. Its description in RNAcentral is "long non-coding RNA (ALYR_LNC002418)". Lineage: Eukaryota; Viridiplantae; Streptophyta; Magnoliopsida; Brassicales; Brassicaceae. The record is from RNAcentral.